This 1038-nucleotide ribosomal RNA is filed under the name Pantoea agglomerans. RNAcentral's name for it is "bacterial SSU rRNA". It matches the Rfam family "Bacterial small subunit ribosomal RNA", at positions 32 to 1078 of the family's 1533-position model. Lineage: Bacteria; Pseudomonadati; Pseudomonadota; Gammaproteobacteria; Enterobacterales; Erwiniaceae. The record is from RNAcentral.
GGCAUUGGCGGCAGCUACCAUGCAGUCGGACGGUAGCACAGAGGAGCUUGCUCCUUGGGUGACGAGUGGCGGACGGGUGAGUAGUGUCUGGGGAUCUGCCCGAUAGAGGGGGAUAACCACUGGAAACGGUGGCUAACACCGCAAAACGUCGCAAGACCAAAGAGGGGGACCUUCGGGCCUCUCACUAUCGGAAGAACCCAGAUGGGAUUAUCUAGUACGCGGGGUAGUGGCCCACCUAGGCCACGAUCCCUAUCUGGUCUGAGAGGAUGACCAGCCACACUGGAACUGAGACACGGUCCAGACUCCUACGGGAGGCAGCAGUGGGGAAUAUUGCACAGUGGGCGCAAGCCUGAUGCACCCGUGCCGCGUGUAUGAAGAAGGCCUUCGGGUUGUAAAGUACUUUCAGCGGGGAGGAAGGCGACGGGGUUAAUAACCCUGUCGAUUGACGUUCCCCGCAAAAGAAGCACCGGCUAACUCCGUGCCAGCAGCCGCGGUAAUACAGAGGGUGCAAGCGUUAAUCGGAAUUACUGGGCGUAAAGCGCACGCACGCGGUCUGUUAAGUCAGAUGUGAUAUCCCCGGGCUUAACCUGGGAACUGCAUUUGAAACUGGCGCGCUUGAGUCUUGUAGAGGGGGGUAGAAUUCCGGGUGUAGCGGUGAAAUGCGUAGAGAUCUGGAGGAAUACCGGUGGCGAACGCGGCCCCCUGGACAAAGACAGACUCUCAUGUGCGAGAGCGUGGGGGAGCACACGGGAUUAUAUACCCUGAUACUCCACGCCAUACACGAUCUCGACUUUGGAUGUUGUUCCCGUGAAGAGUGUCUUCCAGAGCUAACGCGUUAAGUCGACCGCCGUGGAGUAGUACGGCACAAUGUUAAAACUCAUAUGAAUUGACGGGCGCCCGCACAGCUGUAGAGCAUGUGUUUUAUUUCGAUGCACGCGAGAUCUUACCUACUCUGACUUCACGAUUUGGCAGAGAUGCUUUAGUGCCUUCCGAACCGUGAACGUGCUGCAUGCUGUCCUCACUCGUGUGGAAUGUGGU